Long non-coding RNA from Alexandromys fortis (reed vole), 684 nucleotides. RefSeq lists it as uncharacterized. The transcript is spliced from 4 exons. NCBI's taxonomy places the organism in Eukaryota, Metazoa, Chordata, Mammalia, Rodentia, Cricetidae. The record is from RefSeq and is a predicted model, not a curated record.
GCAGAAGCCCUUGCAGCACCGCUUCUCCGGGCGGGGAGCGUCAGGCGGAGGACUGCGGGGAGAGAGCAAGCUUGGAGAGGUUGGGGACCACUGUUAGGCGCUCCCAUGAGCGAGCCUUGUAGGUUCUAAAGUUAUGAGGAAGGAGAAACUAUGGAUUAAGAUCUGAACAGAGGCUGGGAAAGUAAUAAGAUGUGAGACCUAUGCCCUCUCUAUCACUACAAGUUGCUGGCUCUUUGCUAUAUCCUUCCUCCUUCUCUGGACAAGGCUCAUUCUGCCAUGCCUACAACCCAACUUGUACUGUGCAAAGAGUAGAAAAACAGAAUUACCACAUGGAGCCUGUCUCCUGACAACAGGACUGCCGGGCACUCAUCUCUCGGAUGUUACAAGACAGAGAAAAAUGUCUGCCUUGCACAGACAGUGUUUCAUGCAGCCCAGGCUGAAGCGCAGACAAGGAUGACGCAGAACCACUGCGUCUCCUGCCUCCACUCCUGAAGUGCCUGGGAUUUCAGUCUUUUACCACCAUGCCCAGCCUUAAAAUCAUGAAAUAAUGGAAACAAACCCUUUGUAAACCAGGUGCUUCCCAAAUCACCCCCAGAAAGAUCAUUCAAAUUUCCACAGAAAAGCAAGUGAGAGCCGGGAUGAGCUCUAACCCGGGCCACUCAUUACUGGGUGCUCCAAACAAUC